AUUGAACGCUGGCGGCAUGCCUUACACAUGCAAGUCGAACGGCAGCACGGGGGCGAACCCUGGUGGCGAGUGGCGAACGGGUGAGUAACAUAUCGGAACGUGCCCUGGAGUGGGGAGUAACUAGUCGAAAGACUAGCUAAUACCGCAUACGAUCUACGGAUGAAAGUGGGGGAUCGCAAGACCUCAUGCUCGUGGAGCGGCCGAUAUCUGAUUAGCAGUUUGGUGGGGUAAAGGCCUACCAAGGCAUCGAUCAGUAGCUGGUCUGAGAGGACGACCAGCCACACUGGGACUGAGACACGGCCCAGACUCCUACGGGGAGGCAGCAGUGGGGAAUUUUGGACAAUGGGCGCAAGCCUGAUCCAGCAAUGCCGCGUGAGUGAAGAAGG
Molecule: ribosomal RNA, 386 nt
Filed under: uncultured bacterium
Lineage: Bacteria
Description: bacterial SSU rRNA
Rfam family: Bacterial small subunit ribosomal RNA
Source: RNAcentral